RNAcentral lists this non-coding RNA (18 nucleotides) under Arabidopsis thaliana (thale cress). The record is from RNAcentral. Lineage: Eukaryota; Viridiplantae; Streptophyta; Magnoliopsida; Brassicales; Brassicaceae.
GGGCUCGGGGGUCCCAGU